RNAcentral lists this transfer RNA (73 nucleotides) under Bos taurus (domestic cattle). It matches the Rfam family "tRNA". From Rfam's summary of the family: Transfer RNA (tRNA) molecules are approximately 80 nucleotides in length. Their secondary structure includes four short double-helical elements and three loops (D, anti-codon, and T loops). The record is from Rfam by way of RNAcentral. Lineage: Eukaryota; Metazoa; Chordata; Mammalia; Artiodactyla; Bovidae. RNAcentral also lists the same sequence under 3 other names.
UCCCUGGUGAUUCAGUGGUUAGGACUUCGGGCUCUCACUGCUGAGGGCCCAGGUUGAAUCCCUGGCCAGGGAA